GCACUCUUGAUCUCCAUAGUAUCCCCCCUGUCGAUCGUGGAAAUCUCCAUAUCUAUCACGGUCUCCGGCGUCUCCACAUCAACAAAGUGACGAGUCAUCCUCGUGCUCGGCUCGUAGUUAUACUGCUGCCCAUCGAGCUCCGUCACGGUUAAACUUGGCAUUCCGGUCUUCCAAGGGAGCAUAAACAGGACUGUUUCGAUCUCCACCUUGGCCACCGUCCCCUGGCUGGUCAGAGCGAAGAGCAUUCCUUCUAUCUCUCUCAUGUCAGUGAUGAACCAGUCCUCAUUCGCAUACCGGUGGAUGCUCCACUCGGCCUCUCCCGGUCGCCGGAGUUUCAAGAUCGGCUCGCCCAUCUUGAGCGCCACCACCGU
Molecule: long non-coding RNA, 371 nt
Filed under: Elaeis guineensis (African oil palm)
Lineage: Eukaryota; Viridiplantae; Streptophyta; Magnoliopsida; Arecales; Arecaceae
Description: long non-coding RNA (EGUI_LNC031435)
Source: RNAcentral